AAAUUGAAGAGUUUGAUCAUGGCUCAGAUUGAACGCUGGCGGCAGGCCUAACACAUGCAAGUCGAACGGUAACAGAAAGCAGCUUGCUGCUUUGCUGACGAGUGGCGGACGGGUGAGUAAUGUCUGGGAAACUGCCUGAUGGAGGGGGAUAACUACUGGAAACGGUAGCUAAUACCGCAUAACGUCGCAAGACCAAAGAGGGGGACCUUCGGG
This 213-nucleotide ribosomal RNA is filed under the name Escherichia coli. Its description in RNAcentral is "partial 16S ribosomal RNA". It matches the Rfam family "Bacterial small subunit ribosomal RNA", at positions 1 to 209 of the family's 1533-position model. Lineage: Bacteria; Pseudomonadati; Pseudomonadota; Gammaproteobacteria; Enterobacterales; Enterobacteriaceae. The record is from RNAcentral.